This 74-nucleotide transfer RNA is filed under the name Candidatus Cloacimonadota bacterium. RNAcentral's name for it is "Candidatus Cloacimonetes bacterium (marine metagenome) tRNA-Arg". It matches the Rfam family "tRNA". Rfam says of the family: Transfer RNA (tRNA) molecules are approximately 80 nucleotides in length. Their secondary structure includes four short double-helical elements and three loops (D, anti-codon, and T loops). Lineage: Bacteria; Pseudomonadati; Candidatus Cloacimonadota. The record is from RNAcentral.
GCCCCAGUAGCUCAGAAGGAUAGAGUAGCGGUUUCCUAAACCGUUGGUCGGAGGUUCGAAUCCUCUCUGGGGUA